Molecule: long non-coding RNA, 2292 nt
Organism: Marmota monax (woodchuck)
Lineage: Eukaryota; Metazoa; Chordata; Mammalia; Rodentia; Sciuridae
Exons: 3
Source: RefSeq, a predicted model, not a curated record
GUCACACUUGCCCCCAAGCAAGUCCCAGCCGCCUCCCCUGGGCAGCCUUCCUUGACCCCUCAGGGCAGGGAACAGCUGUCCCUUCCAGAUGUCCCACGGGAGGCAACCGUGGCGGCUGAGUCACACCCACGCAGCCGAGGCUCUUAGACCAGCGUGUCCCAAGCGUCAUUCGUUGAGCAACUGGAACUGGGCGCCGGGCCCGGGGCGCUGGACCGCUGGCCCCAUCCCCAGCUCUUCUGGUUUCUGUGCUGAGGCGGGUCUCACUACGCCCCUCAGCCUCCCGGUGGCUGGGAUCACAGGUCACCGCCCCCGCCCAGUGCCACCCUCUCAGCCACCCCAGUCCCUUUCCUGGACGUGUGACCACCUCCACCACCUCCCGGUUCCCCGUCCCUCCUUGAAUUGCCCUUUGGCACUGAACACACUGGACAUUCCAGGUGUCGCUGUUUCCCUGUGUGGGAUCGGUCACCCUGCCGGGGACGCGGGCUCUAGAAGGCAGGGUCUUGUCUGUGUGGCUCCCUGUGAAGCCCCCAGCCCCCUGAGGAGCGUCCCUGCUCCCGGCCGAGGGAGAGUGAAGGGGGCCCCGCGUGGACGCCUUCCCAGGGCCACUCUGUCGCACGCCGUCUUGGCACCGCGUCCACCCGGCUGAGGCAGAGCCGAAGGGCCUUCAUCAAAUUCCAGCUCUGCCGCAGGCCGGCUGCUUGACCCUGAAAACCACGUCACCACUCGGAACCGCUGUUUCCUCUUUCGUCAUAAGGUGCCCACCCCUUUGCACCAGGAGGAGGGACACAGAAGUCGGCCCGGGUCGCGCACUCUGCCGCGGGGACAUUCCUGGACUCGACUCUUGGGCACGUCUCUGGGAUGGACUCCCAGAGGUUGAACCCCUGGGUCAGAAGGCGCAAGGACUCCAAGGACCCACCCACCACACAUGGCCAAGGACAUCCAGGGCCCGUCUGGGAGACCUGCCUACCACGUCCCCUCUGCCCCAGGCCACCCCCUUUUAGGCACCACCAGUGAGACAGGCAAAGGCCACUCUCACCCUUUAAUUAAUCCACAUUUUAAACCAUUUCGUCUGCUGUUUUCCUAGCGCUGGUUCACAGCUCAGUGCGCUGAGGGUCACCGCGUGCGGGUCUUGGGCGAGGCACCCUCCCCCUGAAUUAGCCUGCUGUCGUGCCAGGGACGGAACCCAGGGCGCCGAACCCGGAGCCACGUCCCAGCCCUUUUUAUUUUCUUAUUUUGAGACAGAGUCUUGCUAAGUUGCCCAGGGCCUCACUAGUUAUGAGGCUGGUGAUCCUUCUGCCUCAGCCUCCCAAGUCGCUGGGAUUACAGGCGUGAGCUGCUGUCCCUGACCCUUUUUUUUGGUGAUGCUGGGAAUGGAACCCAGGCCCCGCCCACACGGAGCACAGGGUGUACCACUGAGCUGCAUCCCAGUCGCGCUCCAUAAAACAUCUUCAUCAGACUUCUGGGGAUACACCCAAAAGAUGUGAAGGCUGGGGACCCGGGGCUCCAGUAGACAUUGGUUCACCCACGUUCACAAUGGUCCAAAGGUGAAAGUAGGUGGCAGAUGGGUGGGUGACAGGGUGUGGUACUGUGUACACGAGUGUGUGUGUACUCAGACGUAUGCAUACAUAUGUGUGCCGUGGAAUAUUAGUCAGCCUUAAAAAGGAAGGGAAUUUUGCUCCAUGCUAUGGCACAGAUGAAGCUUGAAGACGUCUACUCUUUCUUUCUUCCUUUCUCUUUCUCUUUCCCUCUCUUACAUGGGCCUCGCUAUGUCACCCAGGCUGGCCUCGAACUCGUGGGUUGUGGUGCGAGAUCCUCCUGCCUCAGCCUCCAACUAACUGAGAGGCUGUCAGGCACCGGGCAAGCCAGCAGCCGGCCACGAGAGGCCAGUCCUGGGGAUUCCUAUCGCGGGAGGUCCCUAGAGCAGUCGAUUCCUAGCUCCCCUCCCCGUCCCCCGAAAACAAAACAAAAAAUAAAUGGGAACGGCGGUCACCCUGGGCCAGGGGGGUUGGUGUUUGAUGGACAGUUUCACUUGGGGAAAAUGAACGGUUCUGGAGGUGGCUGGUGUGAUGCUUUCACACAAAUGUGAACGCACUUGACCCCACAGAACUAUCCCUAAAAAUGGUCAAAAUGGUAGAUUUUAUGUCAUGUAUAUAUUUCAGGGCAAUAAAAGUCUCUUAAGCUCCAUAAAAUCCUGUGAGGUACUUAUUAUUAUCACCCUCCCCCUUUUUGAAACGGUUGUGAAAUUAAGGCUCAGAGAGGCUGGGCUUGCUAGGAAGUGUCACACAGCCUCUG